This 1441-nucleotide ribosomal RNA is filed under the name uncultured bacterium. Its description in RNAcentral is "16S ribosomal RNA". It matches the Rfam family "Bacterial small subunit ribosomal RNA". The record is from RNAcentral.
GAUAAACGCUGGCGGCGCGAAACAGCAUGCAAGUCGAACGGUCCAAGUUGCUGAGCUUGCUUAUUAAACUGGAUAGUGGCAAACGGGUGAGUAACGCGUAAGUAACCUGCCCCUAAGUAGGGGAUAACUCUGAGAAAUCGGAGCUAAUACCUUAUGUGGUCCUUCGCCGCAAGGUAAAGGACUAAAGCUUUCGGGCGCUUGGGGAGGGGCUUGCGUCCUAUCAGCUUGUUGGUAGGGUAACGGCUUACCAAGGCGACGACGGGUAGCUGGUCUGAGAGGAUGUCCAGCCACAUGGGGACUGAGACACGGUCCUGACUCCUACGGGAGGCAGCAGCAAGGAAUAUUGUGCAAUGGGCGAAAGCCUGACACAGCGACGCCGCGUGGGGGAAGAAGGCCUUCGGGUUGUAAACCCCUUUUCUCAGGGAAGAAUAAUGACGGUACCUGAGGAAUAAGUCUUGGCUAACUACGUGCCAGCAGCCGCGGUAAUACGUAGGAGGCAAGCGUUAUCCGGAUUUACUGGGCAUAAAGAGUGCGUAGGCGGUUUGGUAAGUCGGAUGUGAAAUCUCCCGGCUUAACCGGGAGGAGUCAUCCGAUACUGUUGAACUAGAGUGCAGCAAGGGGAAGUGGAAUUCCCGGUGUAGUGGUGAUAUGCGUAGAUAUCGGGAGGAACACCAGUGGCGAAGGCGGCUUCCUGGGCUGUUUCUGACGCUGAGGCUCGAAAGUGUGGGGAGCGAACAGGAUUAGAUACCCUGGUAGUCCACACUGUAAACGAUGGACACUAGGUAUGGGGAGUAUCGACCCUCUCUGUGCCGCAGUUAACGCUUUAAGUGUCCCGCCUGGGGACUACGGCCGCAAGGCUAAAACUCAAAGGAAUUGACGGGGGCCCGCACAAGCAGCGGAGCGUGUGGUUUAAUUCGAUGCAACACGAAGAACCUUACCAGGGCUUGACAUGCUGGAAGUAGAAACCUGAAAGGGGGACGACCUGUUAAGUCAGGAGCCAGCACAGGUGCUGCAUGGCUGUCGUCAGCUCGUGCCGUGAGGUGUUGGGUUAAGUCCCGCAACGAGCGCAACCCUCGUUGCCAGUUAAUUUUUCUGGCGAGACUGCCCCGCAAAACGGGGAGGAAGGUGGGGAUGACGUCAAGUCAGCAUGGCCUUUAUGCCCUGGGCUACACACACGCUACAAUGGGCGGUACAACAGGCAGCGAAGGAGCAAUCCGGAGCUAAUCCUACAAAGCCGUCCUCAGUACGGAUUGCAGGCUGAAACUCGCCUGCAUGAAGCUGGAGUUGCUAGUAACCGCGUAUCAGCAUGGCGCGGUGAAUACGUUCUCGGGCCUUGUACACACCGCCCGUCACGUCAUGAGAGUCGGCAACACCUGAAGUCGAUGGGCCAACCCUUCGGGGGAGCAGUCGCCGAGGGUGGGGUCGGCGAUUGGGACGAAGU